AUACGUAGGUGGCAAGCGUUGUCCGGAAUUACUGGGUGUAAAGGGAGCGUAGGCGGGAAGACAAGUCAAGUGUCAAAUCUAUCGGCUCAACCGGUAGUCGCGCUUGAAACUGUUUUUCUUGAGUGGAGUAGAGGCAGGCGGAAUUCCUAGUGUAGCGGUGAAGUGCGUAGAUAUUAGGAGGAACACCAGUGGCGAAGGCGGCCUGCUGGGCUUUUACUGACGCUGAGGCUCGAAAGUGUGGGGAGCAAACAGGAUUAGAUACCCUGGUAGUCCACACUGUAAACGAUGAUUACUAGGUGUGGGGGGUCUGACCCCUUCCGUGCCGGAGUUAACACAAUAAGUAAUCCACCUGGGGAGUACGGCCGCAAGGUUGAA
This 375-nucleotide ribosomal RNA is filed under the name uncultured bacterium. Its description in RNAcentral is "bacterial SSU rRNA". It matches the Rfam family "Bacterial small subunit ribosomal RNA", at positions 523 to 898 of the family's 1533-position model. The record is from RNAcentral.